Molecule: unclassified non-coding RNA, 1194 nt
Organism: Vigna unguiculata (cowpea)
Lineage: Eukaryota; Viridiplantae; Streptophyta; Magnoliopsida; Fabales; Fabaceae
Source: RefSeq, a predicted model, not a curated record
CCUUUCUAUCAUUCAUUGAUAUCUUAAACUGAAUCAACACAUAUUCAAGAUUCUCAUUCGCGUUUCUACGGUUUCUGAAUUUGAAUUAUCGUAAAUAUACUUGAUGGAUAGUCUCACACAAGAUGUAAUUGGAUCGAGAAGUUCUGGUGUCAAUGCUUUUGAUUUCUGAUUUGGUAGUUGCAAGUAAUUGUUAGUUUCUGUUCGUUGUAUAGUUUUUUAUGUAGGUAUUGCGCGGUUGAAAUGGAAAUGUUUCUCGUGCAUAUGAAGUUCUCGUACGUCUUAGAUUGGUUAAUUAUUAUUUAAGUACGGUUAUUUGAUCAUCAAUUUUUUUUUAACAGCAAAAUGCUAGCCAAAUGAUAAAUGUUGUUUACCGAUAAUUAACUCGUUGAUAUUCAGGUGUAAUGGCUAGUGUUAAAAUUUACUUCUAGCAUGAAUUUCAUGGAUGCGACUUACGGUCAGCUGCAUUUGUGUCUCUGUAUGGCGGUUUUGGAGGUCAUGUGGAUGGUGGUUCACCACCUCUUGGGUCCAGUAGGUCUUGGAAGUCCAUGGAAAUGGAAAUCCAGUCUUUGCUGGAGAAACUGUUGGACAUUAAUGAUUCAAUGAGUAGAUGUGCUGCAUCUGCCGGACCGGCUACUUCUGUAACUCAAAAGUUGGCUAGGCACAGAGACAUUCUUCAUGAUUUUACCCAGAAUCUUCUAAUGAGGAUGACCAAGUGGGAAAAUCAGUUGCCAUUAUGGUGGGAGUGCUUGCUGGUUUAGCCAUUAUUGUUGUCCUUCUCUCAAUCUGCAGAAGAGCAUUUGGUUAAAAAAAUGUGGAGAUGAGAAUUCAGAAAGGAAGAAGGGGUGUAAUCAUUUCAAAAUGUGGAUGUAAUCUUCUGGUUCAUAAAGUGGAUCUCUCAUCACCUUCAAGAAAAGGCUGCAAAAUCACUUGAUCUUGUGAUCUCAGAACAAAAUGGGAUCAUUCUCUUUGAUAAAAUAAACUUAUUUAUUGCUUUACUGCUAUAGUGUGCAUUUAUUUCUUAAUUGUUAAUCAAAUGUUCUUCUUAAGAGGGAAAUGUAGAUUUUGUUUGUUUUUUCAAUUAACUUCCCUAUAAAAGAGGGAAAAACUCCUCACAAAUAGGAAAGGUCAAAUUGUUGCACUAUUAUGUGUUAUAAUAGUAUUAUUUAAGUAUUUCAGAUAUUUUUUGUUCGUUGA